RNAcentral lists this ribosomal RNA (440 nucleotides) under uncultured bacterium. RNAcentral describes it as "partial 16S ribosomal RNA". It matches the Rfam family "Bacterial small subunit ribosomal RNA", at positions 338 to 795 of the family's 1533-position model. The record is from RNAcentral.
CCUACGGGAGGCAGCAGUGGGGGAUAUUGCACAAUGGGGGAAACCCUGAUGCAGCGACGCCGCGUGGGUGAAGAAGCGCCUCGGCGCGUAAAGCCCUGUCAGCAGGGAAGAAAAUGACGGUACCUGAAGAAGAAGCCCCGGCUAACUACGUGCCAGCCGCCGCGGUAAUACGUAGGGGGCAAGCGUUAUCCGGAUUUACUGGGUGUAAAGGGGGCGCAGACGGCGAUGCAAGCCAGGAGUGAAAGCCCGGGGCCCAACCCCGGGACUGCUCUUGGAACUGCGUGGCUAGAGUGCAAGAGUGGCAGGCGGAAUUCCGGGUGUAGCGGUGAAAUGCGUAGAUAUCAGGAGGAACACCGGUGGCGAAGGCGGCCUGCUGGACUGCAACUGACGUUGAGGCCCGAAAGCGUGGGGAGCAAACAGGAUUAGAUACCCUUGUAGUC